GAAACUGCGAAUGGCUCAUUAAAUCAGUUAUAGUUUAUUUGAUAAUAUUCUUACAUGGAUAACUGUAGUAACAUAGAGCUAAUACAUGCUGUCAGGCCCGACCUUCGGAAGGGCUGCAUUUAUUAGAUCCAAACUAAUAAUCCGCAAGGAUUAUUGUGAUGAUUCAUAAUAACUGAGCAGAUCGAAGCAACGCUUCGACGUAUCAUUCAAGUUUCUGCCCUAUCAGCUUUCGAUGGUAGUGUAUUGGACUACCAUGGCAAUUACGGGUAACGGGGAAUUAGGGUUCGAUUCCGGAGAGGGAGCCUGAGAAAUGGCUACCACAUCUAUGGAAGGCAGCAGGCGCGUAAAUUACCCAAUCCUGAUUCAGGGAGGUAGUGACAAGAAAUAACAACCUGGGGCUUCACCGCUUACGGGAUUGCAAUGAAAACAAUUUAAAUAACUUAUUGAGGAACAAUUGGAGGGCAAGUCUGGU
Molecule: ribosomal RNA, 472 nt
Filed under: uncultured marine eukaryote
Lineage: Eukaryota
Description: SSU rRNA
Rfam family: Eukaryotic small subunit ribosomal RNA
Source: RNAcentral